This 1344-nucleotide long non-coding RNA is filed under the name Gouania willdenowi (blunt-snouted clingfish). RNAcentral describes it as "lncRNA (ENSGWIG00000013251.1)". Lineage: Eukaryota; Metazoa; Chordata; Actinopteri; Blenniiformes; Gobiesocidae. The record is from RNAcentral.
GUAAGGCAGUUUUGGAUUGUGAAAAUACUGUAGAGUAAAAAUUGUUGCGCUGCUUUGUUGUUCUUUACGGUAUUGUGUCAUCACGUCCGGAAUAGGAGAUUUAGCGUCUCCGCUCUUUCUCUUUACCAGUAGCAGUGGCGGCCCUCAUUGAAAAACACCAACACAGGGAUUGUUUAGUGGCCUGUGUCUGUGGGGGAAAUAAAAGCGACGCUUCGGCUAGUGACCGUCUUCCUUCCAUGCUGCUCGGCCCCGGUUUAAACCAUGUUGAGCGGCGUUACUCUGCGCGCACAGAUCGCCUCCGUUAUCGACGCCUUGUCCAAAGCGGCCGCGGCAGAAAUCGCCAAAGUUGUGGAGGACGGCAUGGUGGUGCUCCGUCUGGAGGUGUGUCAGCGGGAAAAUGAGAUCCAGAAGCUGAAGAGCAACAUCCAGCUGCUGCACGGAGAGCUGCGGGCGGUGCAGCAGCUAGCGGACACCCACGGACCCAUCGCCCGGUACCACGACAGAGACGAAAGUCAAGCUUGUGUCGGUGCUGAGAGGAAUCUCGAUCCGAACCCAAGUCCCCUUCCUGUUCCUGAAGUCCAGAUUAAAAUUGAACCUGUUGAAAAGAGAGGCGAGGAUGCACCAGGACAGCCCGACAUGCAGAAACCAAUGCUAACGCUCUAUAAAAACAGCCCGUGGAGACCCGCACACAAAGACUCUGAACAACCACACACGGACUAUCUACAUUCAGGCCAAAACUCUCUGUCGUGUCUUCCUGAGUUUUCUUCCUGCAGCGAACAAACCCCGACUGGCAGCAGAUCUGAUGGAGUCCAACAGGGCCCUUUAGGUCGGGGCCUGUUGGGUUACAGUCACUUCCAUAAUGCUAACAACACAGCGCGACAGAGAACGGUGAAGAAGCUGUUGUUUAAGAAAGGUUAUUUCUGUCCAUACUGUGGCAAAUACUUUGAGCGUGCCGGCCACCUGGAGAGACAUAAAAGGAUUCACACUGGAGAGAAACCGUAUGGAUGUGAGAUAUGUGGGAGGAGGUUCAAUCAGAAAUGCAGCGUCAAGGAGCACAUGAAGACUCACAGAAGAUGUAAGUCAAACUGUUCAAGGUCCAUAAGAUCAAUGAUUCCCAACCAAGGGUAGACCUAAUUCUUAGUUAUUUUAUAAACCUGUUGUAAAUAUCGGUCAUUACACGGUUUAAUUUUUUUUUUUUUUUUUUUUUUUUUUAUUUUUUUUUUUUUUUUUUUUUUUACCUUGUCUGCACAUGCUUUCGAAGGUUAACACUACAAGAAGUGCAAUCUUUUGACAGCAAUGCAUAUUUUAUUAUUGCAAUUAAAUAAAUUUAUUUAUUUCAUUGCA